This 169-nucleotide long non-coding RNA is filed under the name Mustela putorius furo (domestic ferret). Its description in RNAcentral is "lncRNA (ENSMPUG00000031392.1)". The record is from RNAcentral. Lineage: Eukaryota; Metazoa; Chordata; Mammalia; Carnivora; Mustelidae.
CCUGUUUCAAUUCAGGAAAACAGCAGUUAAAGGAAAGCCUCUUUGAAACAAGGAUUUGAAAUGGAAGCUAUGCAGAUGAACAUGCUUGCAAGCUGUGAAAUGAAGGUGAGGAUUUGAAGACAUACAUUAAAUCAAGGAGGUAUCAAGUUGAUGUUUGGGAUAGAUCGAG